Molecule: unclassified non-coding RNA, 433 nt
Filed under: soil metagenome
Description: partial contains 5.8S ribosomal RNA, internal transcribed spacer 2, and large subunit ribosomal RNA
Rfam family: 5.8S ribosomal RNA (bases 1-120)
Source: RNAcentral
GAUGAAGAACGCAGCGAAAUGCGAUACGUAAUGUGAAUUGCAGAAUUCAGUGAAUCAUCGAAUCUUUGAACGCAUAUUGCGCUCUCUGGUAUUCCGGAGAGCAUGCUUGUUUGAGUAUCAGUAAACACCUCAACUUCCAUAUCUUUUUUGAAAUGGGAGUUGGACUUGAGUGAUCCCAACGCUUUUCCUCACCGAAAAGUGGCGGGUUACUUGAAAUGCAGGUGCAGCUGGACUUUUCUCUGAGCUAUAAGCAUAUCUAUUUAGUCUGCCUAAAAAACAGAUUAUUACCUUUGCUGCAGCUAACAUAAAGGAGAUUAGUUCUUGUGCUGACUGAUGCAGGAUUCACAGAGACAGGCUUCGGCCGACUUUGUAAACUCGAUCUCAAAUCAAGUAAGACUAUCCGCUGAACUUAAGCAUAUCAAUAAGCGGAGGA